GAGGCAUUGGUGUAGCGGUAACACUGCAGUUUGUGGCACUGCCAACGAGGGUUCGAUUCCCUCAUGCCUCC
RNAcentral lists this transfer RNA (71 nucleotides) under Patescibacteria group bacterium. RNAcentral's name for it is "tRNA-His". It matches the Rfam family "tRNA". From Rfam's summary of the family: Transfer RNA (tRNA) molecules are approximately 80 nucleotides in length. The record is from RNAcentral.